RNAcentral lists this microRNA (22 nucleotides) under Drosophila ananassae. RNAcentral's name for it is "Dan-Novel-18_5p (mature (co-guide))". The record is from RNAcentral. Lineage: Eukaryota; Metazoa; Arthropoda; Insecta; Diptera; Drosophilidae.
UACUUUGAGUAAUGUUUGUAUU